ACAUCCGCAUCCUUUGCUGAGGAUACGGUUAACGGAGCGAAAGCGACGUUCAACCGCAAAACAAGCAGAGGGGGCUUAGUGGUGGGGUGACUGCGUACCUUUUGUAUAAUGGGUCAGCGACUUAUAUUCUGUAGCAAGGUUAACCGAAUAGGGGAGCCGGAGGGAAACCGAGUCUUAAUUGGGCGUUAAGUUGCAGGGUAUAGACCCGAAACCCGGUGAUCUAGCCAUGGGCAGGUUGAAGGUUGGGUAACACUAACUGGAGGACCGAACCGACUAAUGUUGAAAAAUUAGCGGAUGACCUGUGGCUGGGGGUGAAAGGCCAAUCAAACCGGGAGAUAGCUGGUUCUCCCCGAAAGCUAUUUAGGUAGCGCCUCGUGAAUUCAUCUCCGGGGGUAGAGCACUGUUUCGGCUAGGGGGCCAUCCCGGCUUACCAACCCGAUGCAAACUGCGAAUACCGGAGAAUGUUAUCACGGGAGACACACGGCGGGUGCUAACGUCCGUCGUGAAGAGGGAAACAACCCAGACCGCCAGCUAAGGUCCCAAAGUCAUGGUUAAGUGGGAAACGAUGUGGGAAGGCCCAGACAGCCAGGAUGUUGGCUUAGAAGCAGCCAUCAUUUAAAGAAAGCGUAAUAGCUCACUGGUCGAGUCGGCCUGCGCGGAAGAUGUAACGGGGCUAAACCAUGCACCGAAGCUGCGGCAGCGAACGUAUCACCCAAGACAACUUUACGGAGUUGACGAUUGACGGAGCGAAGCGACGUCAAAGCGUUCAUUAAAGUCGAGUUGGCUUAGGGAUACGUUCGUUGGGUAGGGGAGCGUUCUGUAAGCCUGUGAAGGUGUGUCGUGAGGCAUGCUGGAGGUAUCAGAAGUGCGAAUGCUGACAUAAGUAACGAUAAAGCGGGUGAAAAGCCCGCUCGCCGGAAGACCAAGGGUUCCUGUCCAACGUUAAUCGGGGCAGGGUGAGUCGACCCCUAAGGCGAGGCCGAAAGGCGUAGUCGAUGGGAAACGGGUUAAUAUUCCCGUACUUGGUGUUACUGCGAAGGGGGGACGGAGAAGGCUAUGUUGGCCGGGCGACGGUUGUCCCGGUUUAAGCGUGUAGGUGUGUGUUCCAGGUAAAUCCGGUUCACUUUAACACUGAGGCGUGACGACGAGGCACUACGGUGCUGAAGCAACAAAUGCCCUGCUUCCAGGAAAAGCCUCUAAGCAUCAGGUAACACGAAAUC
This 1220-nucleotide ribosomal RNA is filed under the name Salmonella enterica subsp. enterica serovar Typhimurium. RNAcentral describes it as "partial 23S ribosomal RNA". It matches the Rfam family "Bacterial large subunit ribosomal RNA", at positions 566 to 1643 of the family's 2925-position model. Lineage: Bacteria; Pseudomonadati; Pseudomonadota; Gammaproteobacteria; Enterobacterales; Enterobacteriaceae. The record is from RNAcentral.